Molecule: ribosomal RNA, 253 nt
Filed under: uncultured bacterium
Lineage: Bacteria
Description: partial 16S ribosomal RNA
Rfam family: Bacterial small subunit ribosomal RNA
Source: RNAcentral
UACGUAGGGGGCAAGCGUUGUCCGGAUUUAUUGGGCGUAAAGAGCGUGUAGGCGGCCAUGCAGGUCAGCUGUGAAAACUCGAGGCUCAACCUCGAGACGCCGGUUGAAACCGUAUGGCUAGAGUCCGGAAGAGGAGAGUGGAAUUCCCGGUGUAGCGGUGAAAUGCGCAGAUAUCGGGAAGAACACCUAUGGCGAAGGCAGCUCUCUGGGACGGUACUGACGCUGAGACGCGAAAGCGUGGGGAGCGAACAGG